This is a non-coding RNA of Phrynosoma platyrhinos (Desert horned lizard), 73 nucleotides long. NCBI's taxonomy places the organism in Eukaryota, Metazoa, Chordata, Lepidosauria, Squamata, Phrynosomatidae. The record is from the annotation of a GenBank genome assembly.
GCCAUCAUGGUGUAGUGGUUUGAACACUAGACUAUAACUCUGGAGAUCACGUUUGAUUCCCCACUUGACUGUG